This 5956-nucleotide small RNA is filed under the name Arabidopsis thaliana (thale cress). RNAcentral describes it as "ATSL171090". The stretch from base 3212 to 3318 matches the Rfam family "Plant small nucleolar RNA R71". Lineage: Eukaryota; Viridiplantae; Streptophyta; Magnoliopsida; Brassicales; Brassicaceae. The record is from RNAcentral.
UUUUUAUUCGGUUUUGUGAACACGUGGUCGAGUGAUCCCUUGGUUGUGCUUGGCGAUCGAGUGACCGUGAGAGGCGAGAGAUGGUUAAGCGGUUUGAAAGACGUCGAGUUUGGUUGCUUAAUCGAGUGAAGCGGCGAUGACGAGCUUUCGUGGGGAUGAGAGCAGCGGCGAUGGAAACGAUGGGGAGGCGUUGAGAAGCGGCGAGAUCGAGUGACUGUGCAAGGUCGAGUAUGUUGAGAGAUGGUGGUGAGAGCGAUGAAGUUGUGAAGGAGCAGCGAUCGAGUAGCUAGUGGGUUUGAGACGAGCUGCGGUCGAGUGAACUUGAACUCGCGGAAGAGAAGAAACGGUGGUGUUAACGAGUGAUGGCUGGAUUUGAGAGAUGAGAGAAUGAUGGCACCUUGGUCGAGUGAUGAGAGACGGUGGUGAAGAGGCGAGUGAGAAGCGGUCGAGUGCGUGGGGAAGAAAGAUGGUGAGGUCGAGUGACGGAGAAGAAAGGAUAAGGUGAAGAGUGUUGGUCGAGUGUUUGAGAGAAGAGUGUUUGAGGAUAAGAAGUGGCGAGGUCGAGUAUUUGUGGAGAGAGGGGCGAUGGGAUAGAGUGAAUUGAUAAGAUGAGGUCGAGUGGUGGGGAUAAGGUGCGUUGAGGUCGAGUGGUGAGGAGAAGAAGAAGAUAGAUUCUUGUCUUUUGGUGGUGUGCAUGGGAGACAUGGGCGUCAGCGGCGGAUCCCACAGUGUCUUCUUGUCUCUUCUCUGUUCACUAGAAAACCUCCGGGAAAUCCCACAAUCUUCUGUAAACUUGAUAAACUUCCUAGAAGACUCUGUAGGUUCUGUUGGUCGAGUAAAGUGAUGAUUAAAAUUUUUUAGGUUUUUAAACAUCACUCAUACUCGACCAAUAUACUCGAUCUCUAGGCCAUCAGUAGAGUAAAAGUUUUGAAUUUUUACUCUACCUUCACGUUACUUUUUUUUUUUUUCCUGAGAACCACAAACACAACCAAAACAAAUCAAAAAUAACAAGAAAGUAAAAAUUAUUUACAAGGAUAGUCAUGGAACUUCCUCCCAAGUGAGCUUGUUUUAAGUCUCUAGCUUGACUCCUCACACUUAUCAAGAAGAAAAUGAACUGUAGAGAGGGUCAGCAUAAUCCUCUCUGAUACCAUCAUCAUAUUCAGCGUCCUCCCUGGAAAGGUCUGCAGCAGAAUACUCAAUCCCCCUUUCUUCAAAAUAGGCUUCCUUCUCUUCUGGAGGAUAAUCUGUAUCUUGAGACCAUCUUGAAGUGAAUUCUUUUCUCGGGAUAGUGUUAAUCCCACCUUUAGGUUGAGCUUCCUUCUGCAUCUGAUUCAGCUUACUCCUAAGUUCCUCAAUGGUGUUGGCUAGCUUCUCUAUAGUUUCAUUCUGCUUAUCAGACCUCUUUCUAAGCUCUUUCACUCUUUCAGUCUCAUAUCCUUCUCUUGAGAUCGCUCUAUCAUUUCCAGAGGUUCUUCCAUCUUCGGUUGACCCUUGUGGAGUUUUGUUGAUGCCAAACUGCAACUUGAUAUGCUUUCCAAGGUUGAGACUAAUUUUCCCUUCCCUGACAUCUAUCACUGCUCCCACUGACGCUAAAAAGGGUCUUCCCAGUAUUAAGGGAUCCUUAUGCUCUACUUCCAUAUCCAGCACCACAAAGUCUGUAGGCACUUCUACGCCAUUAAUCAUGACUGGUAAGUCUUUCAGCAUGCCGAACGGUUUUCUAGAAGACCUAUCCGCAAGGAUCAAAGUCAGGUCACAAGGUUUAUAUUGAAUGAACUCUAACCUUCUUGCUACAGAGAGUGGCAUCAAGCUAACAGAGGCUCCGAGAUCGCACAGACAAUCGCCGAAAGCAAAUUCCCCAAUGGAACAUGGUAGAGUGAAAGAUCCAGGAUCUUCUAACUUCUCUUGAACAAUCCUCUUAUCAGCAGCUCGAGAUGGAGUGGCAUCACUUUCAUCAUCCGAAUCGUGAUACAUCUUGAUCCUUUCCAGUAUCAAAUUUCUCACAUCUUUGUGAGGAUCAGGAAUCAGGUUAAGAACUUCCAUUACUGGCAUCACUGCUUCAAUCUCGUCCAACUGCUUCGCUGCAAUAGACUUGUAUCUCUCCAUCCAUGCUUUCCUGAAUGUCCACGGAAGAGCACGUGAGGGUAGUGGAGUGGGUUUGAAUCGUUUUACCAUUCUCUCGAUUAUGGCGGCCUUCUCUUCUGAGGUGGAUUGAGUGAGAUGGCGAGAACAAGCAGAAUGGUUGAAUUCAACAACAGAGACUUCAACCUGAGUAGAAGCCUCCCCUUCUUGAACAUCACUGUCCCCAGUGAUGAAAUCAGGGACAGGUCGAGUUGGCAGCUCUCGAUCCUGGCAGAUGGUGAUGGCGUGAGCGGUUGCAUACUCUUUUGGAUUCUGUAUGGACUUCCCUGGAAGUCCUGUAACUUUUGGUGCAGAGGUAGAUGCUGAUUGGCCUUCCAAGUAUCUGACUUUGGUAUUCAAUGCCUCCACUUUGGCAUUCAGGUCAUUGUAGCUGCAGUCCAGCUUAUGGUGCAAUUCAGAUAAUUUCUUAGCCAUUUCCAUUGAGCUAGAUGCUUGUCCCUGUAGCAGCUGUUGGACCAUCUGUUUCAUAUCAGCGUCAGGAGCAGCAGGACCUUGGUGUUGCUGAGGUGCAAACCCAGGUGGUUGUUGCUGGUAGUUCCCCUGGAAUUGCUGCUUAGGAAUGAAACCUUGGUUGUAGGGAACAAAAGGUUUGUUCUGACUUUGUUGUUGCUGUGGAGGAUACACCUGAUCCUGAGGGUUAGCAACGUUGGUGCUGCGGUAGGAAAGGUUGGGGUUGUUGGUUUUGAAGUUGUUGUAUCCUUUGUAGCCACCCUGGUUGUUGUUGAUGUAGCUUACUUCUUCCAACUGGUUACCCUCCCCAUCUUGGACUUGAUAUUGCUCGUCAUCAACAAGGAAGUGCACAUGCUUCUGCUGGCUAAGAAGAAUCCUGUCCAGCUUGUCAUUCAGCGCUUUGAUCUCUUUCCUGUGUUUGUCAUCAGAGUCAGCUGUUCCUCUGACGGUCCUAUCACAGUCUUCGUUGUAAUUUCCAUCUGAUUGAGCAAGGUUCUCAACCAAUUCCCAGCCUUCUUCAACAUCCUUGUUCUGAAAAUUCCCAUUGCUGGCGGUAUCCAGAAGCAUUCUGAUGCGUGGUAGGACUCCUCUGUAAAGAGUGCUGAGCAGAGAGGCCUUAGUAAAACCAUGAUGAGGGCAUUGGUUGGUGUAACCCUUGAAACGCUCCCAUGCUUCACAGAAGCUUUCACCAGUCUUCUGUGAGAAACCAGAAAUCUCAUUUCUGAGUCUUGCAGUUCUGGCAUUGGAGAAGAACUUUGACAGAAAAGCCUUCUUACAAUCAUCCGAGGUGGUGAUUGAGUCAUGGGGCAGAUUCUUCUCCCAGAUAUGUGCUUUGUCACCCAAGGAAAAUGGGAACAAACGGAGCUUGAAUCCGUCUUCACUGACACCAUUGAUCUUCGUUAGGUUGCAGAGCCUAUCGAAUUCAUCAAGGUGGUCGAGUGGAUCCUCCAUUGGCAAACCAUGGAAUUUGUUCCCCUGAAUCAUCGAGAUGAGACCACUCUUAAUCUCGAAGUUGUUAUUCUGGAUAGCAGGAGGUGCGAUUCCCUUCCUCUGACGAUGAUCACGUGGUGCAUCUCCGGCACCAAUGUUGGCAUGGCCAUUUUGCUGAUUCUGUUCUUCAGCCAUAACGAGUGGUUGCUGAGGUACAGGGUUGACUGUGGUUCUCCUUUUUCUGAUUUCGCGGGCUGUGCGGUUGAUAUUGUCGUUGAAAAGGAGGUUCUGGUUGCCUGUUGAUCGAGUUCGCAUACAGUAGAGGUGUACCUGGAUCAAGAAGACAACAAGAAAAACACACAGUUAGUAACUAAAAAGAAAAUUGAAAAAGAACUUGAUCUAAGCAAGUCUGAAAUCUCAAAUGUAACAAACAAACACCCAAUUGGCAACGGCGCCAAAUUGAUAAUAGGUUUUUCAGUCAAUUAUCCCAAAACACCAAUCAUGUCGUUGUAGUAUUUUAGGUUGUCAAUCCAAAUGGGUGUGAUGCUAACAAUCAAGAUGUGAUCAGAAGUCACUAAGUCAAGCCAAGCAAUAACAGGUUUUGGUGUGUUCUAGCAAUCCUAAGUGAACAAGCAGGAAACAGAAAAUAAAACAGAAACAGUAAAACACUCGACCAACACAGCUCUUUGCAGAGCCCUGGGUGAGGUCGAGUGACAGGUCGAGUAACAGACAGAAAAUGAAACAAAGAUACUCGACUGCACAGUCUGUUGCCAGACAACUGGGUGGUCGAGUAUUAGGUCGAGUAACAGUAAAGAAUUACAGAAACUAAGCAACAGGUGACAGGAUGCAGUAAACAGCAGUAGAGUAAACAAUAAAAUCAAUCAGACAAAGAAUUCCUAAGGAUGGGGUAAUUGAGUAGUUUCGUUUCCUCAGUUUACAGGUGAUUGACAUGCUCAACAAAUUAACCCUAGACAACAAGUUCGUUAACCAAAUCUAAGUGCCACCGCAACAGAGACUCUCAAGCUAACCUAGUCCCAGACUCAAUCACCAUUGACGAGAGCUAACCUAACAGGCAUUACGAAUCAACAAGUUAAAGCCAAAACGCUCCCUGCAACCAAUACCUUGGUACAGGGUCACGAAUCUCUGGAAUUAGUGGUUCAGGCAUUUCAUCGAACACCUUUUGGGCGCGGAAAUGUCUGAGCUCAAAUUCCAGUUGAUCAGAAAGCAAUAGGCAUUAAGAACAACUAAUCCAGAAGGGAUCUAUCAAUCAAUACUCAAUCACCUAGCAUACUGAGAAUUCUACACUACUCUAACCCAUCCUCAGAAACCUAUUCACUACUCAGACAUCAUCACAGAAAGCAUAAACGUUGAACAGGUUGAAGACAUGAUAACAGCAGUAUGAUAACAGAAUGAAUAACAGUAAACGAAAAUCAAGAACAGAAACUGAAUAUUGAAUACUGAAUAGAUAAAGAGAAAUCCGGAUUACAAAAAGUCUAGAACACAAGGUCUGCGGAAAUAAAAACUAGGUAAAAACCAACUAGUCUGCGAAAAUGAGAAGUACAUGCUACUUAUAGCCAAAUAUCCCGAAACCCUAAUACUCAAAACGACGAAGUAUUUGGACGGGUUAAGAACUGUACUCGACCCACGUGGUCGAGUGAGAGCUCGAGUGAAUAGCUGGAGUCUUCUUUUCUUCCUUGUGCUCGAGUGUCUGGAUGAGUGCGGAAUGAAGAAGGCUCUGAAGCUUGUCAUCGAGUAUGCAGUCGAGUGGUGUGAUGGAGAUACUCGACCUCUGGGUAGAGUGAGGAGGUCAAGUGAUUGUCUGAUGAUGGAGGUGAAGGCACUCGACCUCGAGGUCGAGUGAAGUGAUCGAGUGACCGUCUGGUGAUGGAGAUGAUGGCACUCGACCACGGGGUCGAGUGGUUAGGUGAAGUGGUGAUGUGCUCUACUCGACCUGGUUGUCGAGUGGUCUCUUGAGAUCUUGAAGCUCCUACUCGACCUCUUGGUCGAGUGGUUUGUCAUAAUCAGGUCUGCUUCUUCCAGAUAGCUCGUCAACAGCUCCAAAUCACCUGAAAUCAACGCAAAUAUGCAACAUGCAUGCAAAACUAUCCUAAACAUGCAAAGUGAUGACAAAUGAUGUGAAAUGGUAUAAAACAGUGAUGAUAUGAUGCUAAAGUGAUGACAAAUGGAUGCUCAAAACAUGCAAAAUACACACUUAUCAAUGUGCUUCGUUCGAUCAUGAUGCACAUUGUUCUUUGACAAUGCUAUGGCGCUUUGGGAGUCACAGAAAAUCUCCACAGUCUCUUGCUCAUAGCCAAAGUCCUUGAGCAGCCCUCUAAGCUAUAUUGCCCCUUUAACAGCUUCUGUGAGAGACAUAUAUUCAGCUUCUGUAGAGGACAUAGCUACUACCUUCUGUAGACACGACCUCCAACUAAUGGUG